Molecule: unclassified non-coding RNA, 118 nt
Organism: Callithrix jacchus (white-tufted-ear marmoset)
Lineage: Eukaryota; Metazoa; Chordata; Mammalia; Primates; Cebidae
Rfam family: Metazoan signal recognition particle RNA
About the family: The signal recognition particle (SRP) is a universally conserved ribonucleoprotein. It is involved in the co-translational targeting of proteins to membranes.
Source: Ensembl
GCUGGGCAUGGUGGCUCAUACCUGUAAUCCCAGCUCUUUUGGGAGGCUGAGGUGGGUGGAUCACCUGAGGUCAGGAGUUCAAGACCAGCCUGACCAACAUGGUGAAACCCCAUCUCUA